This 75-nucleotide transfer RNA is filed under the name Petrotogaceae bacterium. RNAcentral's name for it is "tRNA-Gly". It matches the Rfam family "tRNA". From Rfam's summary of the family: Transfer RNA (tRNA) molecules are approximately 80 nucleotides in length. The record is from RNAcentral. Lineage: Bacteria; Thermotogati; Thermotogota; Thermotogae; Petrotogales; Petrotogaceae.
GCGGCUGUAGUUCAACGGUAGAAUAACGGCCUUCCAAGCCGUGGGUUGCGGGUUCGAAUCCCGUCGGCCGCUCCA